GGGAAAUCCCAGUUAAUCUUGCAAACUGCUCUUUUUUAAAUAGCCUUAGACUUGACGACAACCAGUUUACGGGCCCAAUUCCUGCAGAAAUUGGCUUGCUUGGUCGGCUCAAGAAUUUUAAUGUAGCAAACAAUCGAUUGACUGGAGCAGUUCCACGUUUCACAAAUGCAACUUUUCCUGCAGAGAUCUAUGCCAAUAAUGCCGGACUGUGUGGACCACCAUUAACUCUUUGUGAGGAUAUUGCUAAGAAACCCCGUACUGGAAUCAUUGUUGGUGCAGCUGUUGGUGGGGUGACUUUAGGUGCUGUAUUAUUGACCAUUGGUAUGUUCUUAUAUAUGAGAAAGAUAUCCAGGAAGAGGAAAAAUGCAGAUGAUCCUGAAGGGAAUAAAUGGGCGAAGAGUAUUAAGGGUUCCAAGGCAAUCCAGCUUUCAAUGUUUGAGAAAUCUACUUCAAAAAUGAGAUUAAGUGAUCUCAUGAAGGCCACCAACAACUUCAGCAAGAACAAUAUUGUUGGGUCAGGAAGAACCGGGACAUUCUACAAAGCAGUACUUGAUGAUGGCACUUCACUUAUGGUUAAGAGGUUGCAGAAUACUCAACACUCAGAGAAAGAGUUUACAUCCGAGAUGGCUACGUUGGGAAAUGUGAAGCACCGUAACCUGGUACCUCUUUUAGGUUUCUGCAUGGCGAAAAAAGAAAGGCUGUUGGUCUACAAAGAUAUGCCAAAUGGCACCUUGCAUGAUAGGUUGCAUUCAUUGAGUGAAGGGGAAAAAACUCUUGAGUGGCCUAUGAGAAUGAAAAUCGCCAUUGGAGCAGCCAAAGGAUUUGCAUGGCUUCACCACAACUGCAAUCCUCGUAUCAUUCACAGAAAUAUUAGUUCUAAAUGCAUCUUGCUGGAUGUGGAAUAUGAACCUAAAAUAUCAGAUUUUGGACUUGCUAGGCUCAUGAAUCCAGUUGACACUCAUUUGAGUACCUUCGUAAAUGGGGAAUUCGGGGACUUUGGUUAUGUUGCACCUGAGUAUGCGCGAACUCUCAUGGCUACACCAAAAGGUGAUGUGUACAGUUUUGGUGUUGUACUUCUCGAGUUAGUUACAGGUGAGACACCAACUUCUGUUGCCAAAGCUCCCGAGACCUUUAAGGGGAAUUUGGUGGAAUGGAUCACACAACUCUCUGGUGAAUCUAAGCUUCAAGAUGCGAUUGACCAUUCUCUGUCUAGUAAAGGUUAUGACAGUGAGAUCUUCCAGGUCCUUAAAGUUGCUUGUCGAUGUGUGUUGUCUGCUGCUCCUAAGGAGAGGCCAACAAUGUUUGAACUGUACCAGCUUCUGAGAGCCAUUGGAGAGCGGUAUCAUUUCACAACUGAUGAUGACAUUAUGAUGCCUGAGAGUGAUAGCGGAUUCCAAAUGGACGAGCUCAUUGUUGCUCAAUAAGUAAACGAGGUCCUUCGAUAAUGGUUGAGUAAGAUACAAUAAUUACUAGAUCAUUUUCUAUCCUGUACAAAUACCACGGUUCACUAUCUAUAUAGGUCAUUCUAUUUCUACUGUGUAAGUCCCUUAUUCAUAGCUACCCAACUAUGUAAUUUGUGCUUCUUUUUCUGUAU
This 1594-nucleotide unclassified non-coding RNA is filed under the name Hevea brasiliensis (rubber tree). Lineage: Eukaryota; Viridiplantae; Streptophyta; Magnoliopsida; Malpighiales; Euphorbiaceae. The record is from RNAcentral.